AGAGUGAACGCUGGCGGCAGGCCUAACACAUGCAAGUCGAGCGGCAGCGCGGGGCAACCUGGCGGCGAGCGGCGGACGGGUGAGGAAUGCAUCGGAAUCUACCCUGUCGUGGGGGAUAACGUAGGGAAACUUACGCUAAUACCGCAUACGACCGAGAGGUGAAAGUGGGGGACCGCAAGGCCUCACGCGAUAGGAUGAGCCGAUGCCGGAUUAGCUAGUUGGUGAGGUAAAGGCUCACCAAGGCGACGAUCCGUAGCUGGUCUGAGAGGAUGAUCAGCCACAUUGGGACUGAGACACGGCCCAAACUCCUACGGGAGGCAGCAGUGGGGAAUAUUGGACAAUGGGCGCAAGCCUGAUCCAGCCAUGCCGCGUGUGUGAAGAAGGCCUUCGGGUUGUAACAGCACUUUUGUUCGGGAAGAAAUCGUGCGGGUUAAU
This 435-nucleotide ribosomal RNA is filed under the name uncultured Lysobacterales bacterium. RNAcentral describes it as "bacterial SSU rRNA". It matches the Rfam family "Bacterial small subunit ribosomal RNA", at positions 26 to 464 of the family's 1533-position model. The record is from RNAcentral. Lineage: Bacteria; Pseudomonadati; Pseudomonadota; Gammaproteobacteria; Lysobacterales.